This 253-nucleotide ribosomal RNA is filed under the name uncultured bacterium. RNAcentral's name for it is "partial 16S ribosomal RNA". It matches the Rfam family "Bacterial small subunit ribosomal RNA", at positions 524 to 776 of the family's 1533-position model. The record is from RNAcentral.
UACGUAGGGUGCGAGCGUUAAUCGGAAUUACUGGGCGUAAAGCGUGCGCAGGCGGUUCGUUAAGUUCGAUGUGAAAGCCCCGGGCUCAACCUGGGAAUUGCAUUGGAAACUGGCGGGCUUGAGUGUGGCAGAGGGGGGUGGAAUUCCACGUGUAGCAGUGAAAUGCGUAGAGAUGCGGAGGAACACCGAUGGCGAAGGCGGAUCUCUGGGCCUUACCUGACGCUGAGGCGCGAAAGCUAGGGGAGCGAACAGG